GUCGUUGUUGACUCAACCGGGGGCGUGGUCGGUUCACGGCCGGCCGCGGCGGGCCGGGGUGUCGUCGUUCGGGAUCAGCGGCACCAAUGC
This 90-nucleotide transfer RNA is filed under the name Mycobacterium tuberculosis. RNAcentral describes it as "tRNA-Val(cac)". Lineage: Bacteria; Bacillati; Actinomycetota; Actinomycetes; Mycobacteriales; Mycobacteriaceae. The record is from RNAcentral.